Molecule: RNA transcript, 12674 nt
Organism: Gambusia affinis (western mosquitofish)
Lineage: Eukaryota; Metazoa; Chordata; Actinopteri; Cyprinodontiformes; Poeciliidae
Gene name: spectrin beta chain, non-erythrocytic 4-like
Exons: 43
Source: RefSeq, a predicted model, not a curated record
CUUUGUGUUCAGGCGAGAUAGAGAACAGCUUUCCACUAUCGCAUUAUUAUGACUCGGCAAAACGCCGACCUAACGGUUAACAUGACUCAGCAGAAUUCACGCAUUACCGGCGGAGAGGAGGAGGAGGAGGAAGAGGAGGACGGAGCGGCUGUGUCAGGUGGAAGCGCAGGACCUCUAUGGAGGAUAUCAUCAUCGCUCUCCACCGACUGCACCUCCCGGCCGGCGUCUCCCGUUGCUGCGGCCGCAUUGUCCCCGCGCCGCCGCACGCUCCGUGCGUUUGUCCCGAUGAAGCGUUUCCUGCGGUAGAGGGGAAGACCGAGCCACCCCCUCCGCAUUCAUCCCCUCUCCGCUUAUCGAUCCAAACCCGAGCAAGCAGCAGUCCGAGGGCGAAUCUAACGGGCGUCGUGCGCGAUGGCUAAUGCCUCUCCAGACCUGGACAAUGCAGAAGCCCAGCGCCAGCUCAACAACAACAACCGACCAAUCAGCUCCGGGUUCUGGGAGACCGAGUGCACCAGCGCCAAACUGUUCGAGUGUUCCCGCAUCAAGGCUCUGGCAGAUGAGAGAGAUGCAGUGCAGAAGAAAACCUUCACAAAGUGGGUCAACUCCCACCUGGCCAGAGUGUCCUGUCGCAUCUCUGACCUCUACAACGACCUUAGGGACGGCUACAUGCUCACCAGACUGCUGGAGGUUCUCAGUGGGGAGCUACUGCCGAGACCUACCAGGGGUCGUAUGCGGAUCCACAGCCUGGAAAACGUGGACAAAGCUCUGCAGUUCCUGAAAGAGCAGAGAGUUCAUCUGGAAAACGUCGGUUCCCACGACAUCGUGGAUGGAAACCAUCGCCUCACCCUCGGCCUCAUCUGGACCAUCAUCCUUCGCUUUCAGAUCCAGGUGAUCAAAAUAAACACAGCGGACAACAGAGAGACCCGCUCCGCCAAGGACGCGCUGCUGCUGUGGUGCCAGAUGAAGACUGCAGGGUACUCAGAGGUAAACAUUCAGAACUUCACCACCUGCUGGAGAGACGGCCUGGCCUUCAACGCCCUCAUUCACAGACACAGACCGGACCUGAUAGAGUUCAACAAGCUGACGCGCUCCAAUGCGACGCACAACCUGCAGCAAGCCUUCAACGUCGCCGAGCACCACCUAGGUCUCACCAAACUCCUGGACCCCGAAGAUGUGAACACAGAGAAUCCAGAUGAAAAGUCCAUCAUUACGUACGUGGUCUCCUACUACCACUACUUCUCCAAGAUGAAGGCUCUUAUUGUGGAGGGGAAGAGGGUUGGCAAGGUGUUGGACAACUGCAUCGAGACAAAAACAAUCAUCAACCGCUACGACGCGCUGGCGUCGGACCUGCUGGAGUGGAUCGAGAAAACCAUCGCCGUCAUCAGCAACCAGAAAUUCGCCAACUCUCUGACUGGAGUCCAGCAGCAGCUGCAGGCCUUCACAACCUACUGCACGAUAGAGAAGCCCAUCAAGUUUCAGGAAAAAGGAAACCUUGAGGUCCUUCUGUUCACCAUCCAAAGCAAACUCAGAGCCAAUAACCAGAAACCCUACGUGCCUCAAGACGGGAAGCUCAUCUCAGACAUCAACAAGGCCUGGGAGCGCCUGGAGAAGGCGGAGCAUGAGAGGGGCGUGGCUCUGCGUAAGGAGCUGAUUCGUCAGGAGAAGCUGGAGUUGCUAGCUCAACGCUUCGAUCACAAGACGACCAUGAGGCAAGCCUGGCUCAACGAGAACCAGAGACUCGUGUCGCAGGAUAACUUCGGCUACGAUCUGCCGGCCGUGGAGGCGGCGAUGAAGAAGCACGAGGCCAUCGAGGCGGACAUCGCCUCGUACGAGGAGCGCAUCGGCGUGGUGAUGGAGCUCUCCUCGGAGAUGGAGAAGGAGGGAUACUACGACAUCCGGCGCAUCCUGGCCUGCAAGGAGAACAUCCUGGGCCAGUGGAGCCUGCUGAAGGAGCUGGUGGCCGGCAGGCGGACCCGGCUGGAGAAGAACCUGGCUCUGCAGAAAACCUUUCAGGACAUGGUCUACAUGAUCGACUGGAUGGAGGACACACAGGCUCUGCUGCUGUCGAAGGACUUCGGGAAGCAUCUCCUGGAAGUGGACGACCUGCUGCAGAAGCACAGCCUGCAGGAAGCUGACAUCUCCGUUCAGGCGGAGAGAGUCGAGACGCUCAACGCUGCGGCGCUCAAAUUCACCACCAUAGAGGGCUACCAGCCGUGCGACCCGCAGGUGAUCUGCAACCGUGUGAACCACGUCUCUUCCUGCCUGGAGGAGCUGAAACAGCUAGCCGCUAAACGCCGCGCGGAGCUGGAGGAGUCGAGGCAGCUGUGGGCGUUUUUCCAGGAGCUGGAGGAGUCAGAGGCCUGGAUCCGAGAGAAAAGCUCCAUCCUGGCGUCUCAGGGCUUCGGGAAGGACCUGAGCAGCGUGCUGCGGUUGCUACAGAAACACAAGACUCUGGCCGGGGAGCUGCUGGCGCACCGCUCGCUGCUGCAGAACACCAUAAAGCGGGGGAAACAGAUUCUGACCGAAAAGAGCUUCGGCACGGCGGGGAUCCAGGAGCGCAUCAUGGAGGUGAAAGACGAGUGGAAGAAGCUGGAGGACCAGGCGGCGCAGCAUCUCGGCCACCUGCAGGAGGCGCUCAACUUCUUCCAGUUCUCCACGGAGACGGACGACGUGGCGGCGUGGCUGCAGGACGCCUACCGCCUGGUCUCCAGCGAGGACUUUGGCCACGACGAGUACUCCACUCAGUCGCUGCUGAAGAAGCACAAGGGCGUGACGGAGGCCAUCGAUAAACACAGGUUACAUGUAGUUGCUCUGCGCAAACACAUGGUGGUGCUGUCUCUGCAGUACACAGAGCAGGAGGAGGUUCAGGUGCGUUUGGGUGAGGUGGAGCAGCUGUACACGGAGGUCGCAGAGGUCGCCGUACUCAGACAGCAGUGGCUCCACGACGCGCUCGCCGUGUACCGCAUGUUCAGCGAGGUGAACGCCUGCGAGCUCUGGAUCGACGAGAAGGAGCAGUGGCUGGAGAAGAUGGAGAUCCCGGAGAAGCUGGAGGACGUGGAAGUGGUGGCGCACAGGUUUGAAAGCCUGGACCAGGAGAUGAACAGCCUGAUGGGGAGGAUCCUGGACGUCAAUCAGAUCGUUCAGCAGCUGCUGGACGGAGGUCAUCCGUCUUCAGCGGAGGUCAGAGGUUGUCAGGAUCACCUCAACUCCAGGUGGAACACCAUCGUUGAGCUGGUGGAGCAGAAGAAGGAUCAGCUCGACUCGAUGCUUCGCCUGCAGAAUUACCUCCUGGAGUGCGCCGAGAUCAAGUCCCAGAUCCAGGACAAGAGGAAAGCCAUCGACGCCACGCAGUACAUGGGCAGCGACCUGGGGGGCGUCCUCGCUCUGCAGCGACGCCUCUCCACCAUGGAGGGGGCGCUGUCUGUCCUGGAGCCCAAACUGCUGCAUCUACAGGAGGAAGCAGAGUUUCUGGCCGCCGCUCAUCCCAGCCGAACCAUGGAGAUCCUGGUGCCGUUCGAUGGCAUCAGCGUCGAGUGGGAGGAGCUUAAAAGGACGCUACAGGGAUGUGAGGACUCGCUGAUGGUGGCCAGCAGGCUGCAGAGCUUCAUACAGGACCUGGACUCCUUCCUCACCUGGCUGGUCCAGACCCAAACAGCCGCUGCCUCGGAUCAGCUGCCCAACGAUCUGGAGGAGGCAGAGAAGCUCAUCAACAAGCACGCCGCUCUCAAAGAGGAGAUCGGACGGUACGAGGAAGACUACGAGCGUCUGCAGGCCAUGAACGAGCUGCUGGAGUCAGAGGACGCCCCCCUGCCGCAGGCCGCCCUGCAGCAGUGGCUGCAGAAGCUCGACGUCGGCUGGAACAAGCUCCUGGAGAUGUGGGAGAGCCGGAGGGAGGUUCUGGUCCAAGCUCACAUCUUUCACCUGUUCCUGCGAGACGUCAAACAAGCGGAGUCCUUCCUGAACAACCAGGAAUCGGCUCUGGCCCACGUGGAGCUCCCCACCACGGUGGAAACGGUUGAGGUCGCCAUCAAGAAACAUAAGGACUUCACUACCACCAUGGAGCUCAACCUGCACAGGAUCAAAGCUGUGAUCGAGGCGGGAGAAAGCCUGAUCAGCCAGAACAACAUCUACUCCGAGCGAAUCCGGGAGCGCAUCGACACUCUCGCCAAGAGGGGAAACCAGAACAGGGUACUGGCCCAGCAAUGGCUGGAAAAACUGAACGACCAGUGGGAACUUCAGAGAUUUCUCCAAGACUGUCAUGAGCUGGGGGACUGGGUGUACGAAAAGAUGCUGAUGGCGAGGGACAGCAGCCGAGACGAGACCCAGAAGCUGCACAAGAAGUGGCAGAAGCACCAGGCUUUCAUGGCCGAGCUGGCCCAGAACAAGGAAUGGCUGGAUAAAAUCGAAAAGGAAGGGCAGCAGCUGAUAAAGGAAAAGCCGGAGCUGAGCCCGGUGGUCCGGAAGAAGCUGGAGGAGAUCCGGGAGUGCUGGCUGGACCUGGAGAGCACCACUCAGGCCAAAGCUCGCCAGCUGUUUGAGGCCAACAAGGCGGACCUGCUGGUUCAGAGCUACGAAAGCCUGGACCAACGGCUGGGGCAGCUGGAGGGGCAGCUGGCCUACGUGGACCAGGGUCAGGACCUCACCACCGUCAACAAGCAGCUCAAGAAACUACAGACCAUGGAGACCCAGAUGGAGGAGUGGUAUAAUGAGGUGGGGCAGCUCCAGGUCCAGACGGCCUCCAUCCCGCAGCAGACGCAGAUCCAGGGCACGGUGGUGGAGCGGCAGGCCGCCGUGGAGACCAGGAUGGCCCGACUCAUCGAGCCGUUGAAGGAAAGGCGGCGCCUUCUUCUGGCGUCUAAGGAGGUCCAUCAAGUUGGGCGAGACCUGGAGGACGAGAUUUUGUGGGUCCAGGAGCGCCUCCCUCUGGCCAUGAGCCAGGAGCACGGCUCAUCGCUGCAAGCCGUCCAGCAGCUCAUGAAGAAGAACCAGACGCUCCAGAGGGAGCUGGAGGGCCACAGGAAUAGGAUAGAAGACGUCCUGGAGAGGGCAGGGAUCAUCGCCACCAUCAGGAGCCCAGAGGCCGACUGCGUCAGGGCGGGCCACGACCAGCUGGCCCAGCUGUGGGCCCUGCUGUGGGCCGAGACGGAGCGCAGGCAGCUGGUUCUGGACGCCAUGUACCAAGCCCAGCAGUACUACUUCGACACGGCCGAGGUCGAGGCCUGGCUGAGCGAGCAGGAGCUGCACAUGAUGAACGAGGAGAAGGGAAAGGACGAGCCGAGCACGCUGCAGCUGCUGAAGAAACAUUUGCUGCUGGAACAAACCAUCGAGGAUUAUGCUGAGACCAUCGGCCUGCUGUCGCAGCAAUGUCGCCAGCUGCUGGAGAUGGGACACCCAGACUGCGAACGGAUCAGCAAGCGCCAGUCGCAGAUCGACCGUCUGUACGUGUCUCUGAAGGACCUGGUGGAGGAGAGGAAGAGCCGCCUGGAGCAGCAGUACUGGCUGUACCAGCUCAACAGGGAGGUGGACGAGCUGGAGCAGUGGAUCGCCCAGAGGGAAGUGGUGGCCAGCUCGCCUGAACUGGGCCAGGACUUUGAGCACGUCUCCGUCCUCCAGGAAAAGUUCACAGAGUUUGCGUCGGAGACAGGAAAUGUGGGGCAGGAGCGCGUGACGGCCGUCAAUCAGAUGGUGGACGAGCUCAUUGACUAUGGUCACUCUGAGGCCGCCACCAUCGCCGAGUGGAAGGACGGGGUCAACGAGGCCUGGGCCGACCUGCUGGAGCUCAUGGAGACCCGAGCGCAGAUGCUCGCUGCUUCUCACCAGCUGCACAAGUUCUUCUCCGACUGCAAAGAGAUCUUGGCCCAGAUUGAGGAUAAGCACCGGCGGCUCCCAGAGGUCCGGGCUCGGCAGGGCAGCACAUCCAACACCAGCACGCUGCAGAGGCUCCUGCAGAGCUUCGAACAGGACAUCCAGCUGCUGGUCACUCAGGUGCGUCAGCUGCAGGAAAGCGCGGCCCAGCUGAGGACGGUGUACGCAGGCGAGAAGGCCGAAGCCAUCGCUUGCCGUGAGCACGAAGUGAUGCAGUGCUGGAAGGAGCUGCUGACGUCCUGCGAAGAGUGCCGGCUGCAGAUCACCACGGAAACGGACAAGCUGAGGUUCUUCAGCAUGGUCCGGGAUCAGAUCAUGUGGAUGGAGUCCAUCAUCUGUCAGAUCGGCACCGGGGAGAAACCCAGGGACGUGUCGUCGGUGGAGGUGCUGAUGAACUACCACCAGAGCCUGAAGAGCGAAGUGGAGGCCCGCAGCCAGAGCACGCUGGAGUGCAUCGAAAUGGGAAAAAUGCUGCUGGCUGCUAGAAACCCUGCAGCUGAGGAGAUCAAGGAGAAGCUGGAAAAGGUGAUCGCGAAGCAGCGUGAGCUUUCAGAGAAGUGGGACAAACACUGGGAGUUCCUCCAGCAACUGUUGGAGGUUCACCAGUUCGCCCAGGAGGCGAUGGUGGCGGAGGCCUGGCUGACGGCUCAGGAACCGCUGAUCAGCAGCAAGGAGCUGGGCGGCAGCGUGGACGAGGUGGAGCAGCUCAUACGCCGACACGAAGCUUUCCGGAAAGCCGCCGCCACCUGGGAGGAGAGAUUCAGCUCACUGCGGCGUCUCACUACGGUGGAAAAGCUGAGAGCGGAGCAGAGCAAGCUGCCGCCGACGCCGCUGCUGGGCCGUAAAGUCUUCUUGGACCCUCAGGACGCGGCGCCGGGUCCGGCCACGCUGCCCCGCCUCCCGGUCUCCCCCGUCAUGAGGCAGACCAUCUACGAGCAGAACGAAGCCACCACGCCGCCGUCGCCCUCGCCCGCCACGCCCACGCCGUCCCCGUCGGCGGCCGCCCGUCGGCUCGCCUCCGCCGUCGUCAACAGCUCCGGCUACCGGCACGGCGGCGUGGUGGCCGUCCAGCCGGCCGCUUCAUCCAUCGCCUCCGUCGCCACGGCGGCCAUGUUGGUGUCGGCUAAUCAGAUGCGGGAAAGCGCCAGCACGGCGAAGGAGCAGGCGACAAAAGCCAUGAGCUACCUGCAGCCGGAGGCGAAGACGUUGCCGUAUCUACGGCAACCGAAGAUCAAACACUUGGACGACGCGGUGACGCCGCUGAUCGUGGCGAGCCGCCUGGAGCGAGGGAGAGAGCGAGGGAGGGAGAGAGAGGAGCGGGCAGAGGUGGCGGUGAUGGCGGAGGUGGUGCUCCAGGAGCCGGGCCGGGAGCGGCUGCACAGCGAGCCCACCAGGGGGCCCCGCGGGUCCAGAACCGACCCGCUGGGCCGAGCCGAGCCGCAGGUCCAGGCGUACCAGCGGCAGCUGUCCAGCGAGCAGCUGAUCCAGGCGCGGCGCGACGAGCUGCCGCAGGAAGUCCGGAGGGAGCAGGCGGGGCGGCGCGACAGGCGGACGCUGGAGAGGCAGACGUCCAGCGAACAGGAAGGACAUGAAGGCCGGCGGAGAGAGAGAGAGCGCCACCGAGUGGAGAGGCAGGAGUCCAGCGACAAUGACGUGGGGAGGGAGCAAUCCGACCGGCGCUCCACUGGAGGAGAGAAGAGAACCACCAUGGCAGAAAUUGUAGAGCAGCUUCAAGAAAGAGAAGCAGCACAGGCGCGUGGCGAGGUUCCCCGCCUGCCCAACGGUCUGCCAGAAAAGUCUUCCCGUCCGGACCGGCCCAGAGCCCGGGACCGACCCAAACCCAGACGGCGGCCGCGCCCCAAAGAGCCGGGAGAAACGACGCGGCGUUCCCGAUCGGCUCCGGCCCAGAGCAGCCAGGCGGCGCCGCAGCCGCCGACCCACACGGCGCACCACGAGGGCUUCCUGUUCCGCAAGCUGGACAUCGAGAGCAUGAAGAAGAGCACCAACAGGUGGGUCUUCAGGGCCCGGCGGGCCGCCAGCACACGCAGGAUGCUCCCUGCUGUCAUGACCAUCCAAAUUAACGAACUCCAAUUUCCAAAUUCCCAAAAGUUUCCUUUGAGUUUUAACUAUAAAUGGUUGGAAUAUUUAAAAUCUCUUCUGGCUUUAAUAAUCCCUGUUGUGUUAAUUGAUCAAUCGAUGGCAACGGGGCGCAAAUUCAGCAUGCAGAGUUACGACUUUUGCAUCUGACGUGUUAGGAAGAUGCAUGACUCGGCUCACAUGUGGUCCUUACAAGCUGCAACCGAACCAAAGUCCAGCUGUGGUUCUGCUCAGCAUUCAGGUCUUCCGUCCUCCAUUACAGCCAGAUUUCAAAAUGGAGUUCACAGAUUUAGGAGCUCAGGCAGGUUUUGAGGUUUUUUUAUUUUAAAGCAGAAGAGUCAUGCAGCCACAGCGCCUCCGCACUUACUCUACCCCUGGUAAAAAUGUGAGAGAAAACGUUGAUCGACUGGAAGGUGAUUUUUAACGGGUAUUCGUAACGUUCACACGAGUUGGAUGUUUUUUUUUUUCUUUUUUGCUGAAAUCUUUUUUUUUUUUUUUUUUUUUUUUUAUAUAUAAAAUCUGAUUUUCAGAUUUUUUUCUGAAAUCUGAUCUUUCAAGUAUUUUUUUUUUUGUUGAAAUCUGAUUUUUUUUCUGUAGUUUUUUCUAGCUGGCUAACUAAAUACUUGUUUAUUCUCUGAUAGUCUAACUCCUUUUAGCACAACUUGAACACAACAAUAGUAUUUCUCUUCGUCCAAUCAGAUCGUUAUUUGAAGCAAAAAUUAACCCCCAGUGAGCCGAGAGAAGCAGCUUUGUCGUCCAUUGCUGCUGUUAGCGGAUGUCAUGGUGCGUCAGGUUUACCGGCGUACCAGAAACGCACAACAACGGUUCCAGUGAGAACCUUUGUAUGAAAAAAAACUAUAUUAAUUAUAUGUAAUGUUUGCUGGAUUUAAGUGUAUUAAAAUUCAUCCACUGCAGUUGUUUACAGAUGUUUGUGCAUCAGAUUUUGGGUCGUACCAGAACAAAAAGCAAAGUUUUUGUGAAAAAAGAAAAGUAAAAAAAAAUAUUAUUACUUAACAUUGAGUUUUAUUUUCUACUGUAUGAAUAGAAAGCUGCAUUUUACCAGGGGUGUGGUAACAUCUAAGGGUGCUGUGUAUCUAAAUAUCUGAUUUGUUGCAUUCAGAAUGUGAGGACAACAGUUACAUGAAAUAAAAAAGUUCCCCACAGCAUGAUGAAACUCCACGCAUGAUGCUUAACCUGAACGCCACGCAGCCGACGCAGCUGCUUCACUCGCUGACUAACUGGCUGGAUGAAGAGUGCAGCGAGAGCGGACCGAUCCGCUCGCAAACCCACACACAUUCACCAGACGAGCCCCCACUCUGACCCGCUCUCCACCGCCCUCUGGUGGCCGGUCCGAUCACCCACAGCCAAAAGCUCAUCCAGUUCCAGCAACGGAUGACGCCCCUCAUGCGCCCACUCACGACAGUGGAUGAAUGCGGCCAUAUGUACAUGCCCUGUUAUGUACAUGGAAAGGUAAAGCACAACUGUGAAUGGCUUGAAUCCAGUGUUGAAUCAUUGGGAUUCAACCCGUCACCGUUACGUCGCGACUCUACAAACCGUCACUCUGUGGUUCUGUGCGUAGUAAUAUUCUGAUGAAACCUGCUGAAUGUGGUGCUUUUAGAUUGAAUUCAUUGUUGUUUAGUUCUCUGAUGGGAAAAAGAAUGUACACCCUUCUUUAUCUCUCAGGUUUUACAAGCUUUUAUUGUACAAAACCACAUAACCAGUCACACACUGUCAUUGUUUAAUAAGCCUAGAAAGUUUGGUUCAGCCUCGGUUUGGUUGAAGUGAUAUCUGGUUCAGUUCAAAUGCAUAUGUGAAGGCCAAGUGGACCAGAGGCCGCUUCAAAAGCAGGAAGUGGACUACAGCGCAGAAAAAUGCUACAAACAAAAAUUCUGCAAGCACAGCAAAUAUAAAACACUCCACAAAAUGGAAGUCCUCCAGACCACUAGGGGGAGUCUGGCAUUGGUAAUGUUACCAACAUAAAUAAUGUUGAUGUUUUAUAAUAUUGUAAAAGACAAUAUAUUCCAGCUUUAUUGAGGGUCUGGUCCCAUCUUAUUAGAUGGUUGGUUGGCUCCCCCUAGUGGCAUGGAGGACUUUUCAGUUUCAUUCUUGCUGCUGUUUUUGCAGCAUUUCCUCUUUUACUUCUACCUGCUCUUCACUGUUUGCAGCGUAUUUGUUUAUUUGGAGUUUACCUCAUUUAAGUGUUUGUGAAGCGUUUACACCUGUCAGCCACUGUAGGAAAAAGACUUAAAGGGACGGUAUUAUGUGUUUUCUAGGCACAUAGUGCCAUUUUAUGUCAAAAUCAAACUAUUAUCUUACCUUUAAUUGCUAUAAAACAGAGAGUUGCUGUGGAAUUGGGUCUCUGUCUCUUUAAGAAGUUCCUAAUCCAUCUGACAAUCUGCCUUCAGCACAUUAUCAACACAAUGCUCCUUAUUAUGCCGUUUACAGCCGCUCUCAGGUCAUAUAAUGAGUUCAGCAGGCGCGUAGUUCCACCAGGUGUUUGCUAAUUGCUGCUGACUAGUCUGGAGGAGCUGAUGGGAAGAAUUGCGCUCUGUGAGGCAGAAGCUCCUUUUUAAAUACUAUAAAACCUGCAAGGGUGUGCUUUAUUUUUCCACAUUGUUUCCAUUUUGGCAUAAUCUUUUAUUGCUCACCAAAUUUUUCAUUAAUUACAAACAGUUUCUCAUAUGCACCUUAGCUUUUUGCUCGUUUGCAGAUGUUUUAUCAGAAUAUAAAGCUCCAUUUUAUUACCUCCAAGUACUGUGCAGACGUUUAAGACCUUAAAACUCGUUUAUUAUUUUAAUGCAGCAUUAAUUUUCUAAAUUUAACGCCAUCACCUUAUAAAUGUUUCCUUCAUUUGAGAUAAAGGUUAAAUUGGUUAGUUUUCACAUGAAAUAGCAUCAGACUUUAUGAAAUAGCUUCCAUUUUUUGACAAUGAAGAUUCUCCCUCCUUUAUUUUCUCCCAGCUGACGGAAGCUGAGAUCACCUCUGUAAAUUAUUUAUGGAAAAUCAAGCUUCUCAUUGGUGGAUCAAUCAAAUAUCUAAUAGGUCUAAGAUUUUUGCACAGUCUCUAUGCUUCCUCUCAGUUGAUUUGCUUCAUGCAUGUGGUCGCUUUAACACAGGGGUGUCCAAACUUUUUGUCACAUUGGCCAAAAUUGUUGAGCCAAAAGAACUGACAGGUCAAAAAAAAAUAAAUAAAAUCAACCAAAUACAGUUUGUUUGUUUGUUUUUUUUCAGGAAAUGGCAGCGAAAAUAAAAAAAUAAAUCUACCAUUUAAAAUAAUUUGAGUUAAAAAUAAAUUUAUUUAUUGUUUUUAAAAAUAGCCUUUUAGCUAAUUCUGGCACAUUUACAAAAUGUUAGUUAAGGUUUAUUGUCCCCACCAAAUAAAUUGAAUUAAUUUCCAAAUUCCUUUGAACUGAAUUAAACAGCUGCGUUUCCAUUGAUCAUAUAAUGGCGGAAUUUGACAUUUUGAAAGUAAAUUUGCUUAAAAGAAAAACUUUUUUUGCAUCACAUAAGUCAAGUCAUCAAAAUCGGAUGUUACCGCUGACAGAAACUAUGAAGAACCCAACAAGAAGUUGUUUUAGGAUUAUGUUUUUUAAUGACUUAUCGCAUAAAGAAACUUUUUCAGGUGUGUUCAUAAUUUAAUUUCUUGUUUAAUGGAAACGCUGUAAAAGUGAAAUAGUUUUUUUUUUCAAUGUUAUUAACAAAGUUUUGUGAAUAUUUGUAAUGGAAAUGCAGCCAGUUAUAAGAACAGGAUUUAGGGCACUUUCUUCCAAAAAGCUUUAAUAAAUUAAAUAAAAGCUGUUAGGGCUGGAUGGUAUGGCUGAAAAACCUAUCACAAUAUAAACAUUUUAUAUCAGUCAAUCAACAAUUAUUGAUUAGUUUUUUGUUGUAAAUAUCUGAAAUAUUGCCAAACUGGCAGUGUGACCUUUCCAGUUUCCACUUCACGUCGAAUGUUUUUGAUUUUUAAGCAGUUAUGAGGCAAAACCUCAAACUGCUGCUGCUCAAGUUAGCAGAUUGUUGCUAGGUAACCAAAGCUGGGUGGAACUUCAAACUGCUGCUUACCCAGCAGGUUGUUGCUAGGCAACCAUAGAGUGAGAGAGUUAGCUGACCACCAACCUAACUUAGCUGGCUAGGUUUAGCAGCUAACGUCUUUAUUAUGCCUACAUCUCCCAGAAUACCGUCCGUUUCUGGAUCAGUGUUCAUUGACAUUAUUGAAUAUCCAUUGAUAUUGAUCAUUUUUCUGUCGUAACUUAUAUUGUUAUUGAUUUAUUGUCCAGCCACACUUUUUGUUGAACUCAACAUUUUUCACUGUAAAAACAUUAUGUUGAUAAAAAUUGUACCCUAAUUAAAAAUAUAAAUUCUUCAUUUUUAUCAAUCAUUUGUGAUGGACGGGUCAAAUCUGUUUUACUCUUAAACGGCCACAAAAAUGUCAGUCCAAGAGCCAGAAAUGGCCCCCGGGCCUCAUUUUGGACACCUCUUGGUUCAACAGAUGUAACCUAGUUGAAAAAAAAUUGCAUUUAACCAAACUCUUCUUCUUCUGUUUCUGUGUUUCUCCCCGCUGUGCUUCCGGCUCUCCCUCCGUUCUCCUCCAAGUGUAAAUCCUCCUCCCUUCUUGGGGCUGGUCCAUCCUGCCUACCUACCUGUCUGCUCUGGUCAGCAGGUCAUGGGUCAACCUGUACUGCGUGCUGAACAAAGGGGAGCUGGGCUUCUACAAG